Molecule: unclassified non-coding RNA, 3492 nt
Filed under: Hevea brasiliensis (rubber tree)
Lineage: Eukaryota; Viridiplantae; Streptophyta; Magnoliopsida; Malpighiales; Euphorbiaceae
Source: RNAcentral
AUGAGUCACAAAAGUUCAAGCAUAAUCAGGCAUCACUCUUUUCAGGAAUGUAAUUGGUUGGGAUUCUUCAGAGGCAAGCUUGUCAAAAGCAAUGUAAUUUUCAUCCUUGUCAUAAACAUGGCACAUUGUCAUUAUUGUCUUCAUUAAACGCCAAUUCCAUGUAGCCUCAUUUAGAUACUUUUCCCAAUUGUCUUCAAUAGAUUUAUGAGCUGCCCGGUAUCCUUGUAGAAAUAUGGUGGGGGAUAUGGAUAUUGAGAUCAUGACAGAGGACCUCAACCCUGCAAAGUGGAAAAUCAUCAAUUUUUCACUCAUUUUUCCAGGUAGCAAGUAUUUUAUCACGCAAACUAGCAACCAAGGGAAAUUUUAGAUCUUUUCUGCCUGCAUUCGUUUGAAACAAUUCCAGACUUGAAAAAGACUUUGAGCAUGUAUAAUAUAAGCUCUCUGCUUCCCUUAUCAGUGUUCAUUAUGCAAAGAAGUACUAAAAAUGGCCUUGGCACUAAUUCUGGUCAACAGAUCUAAAUUCCCAUGAUUUAAGGAUUUCUAGGACACCCACGCAUGAGUGAUUAUAUAGUACAACCGUGAUUCUAUCUCAGCAUUUGACAUGGAAUGGCAAACCAAUCAUGGUAAGACAAUCAAAUAUAAAAAGGCAGUUAUCAUUCGAAAAAAAAAAAAUUUAACACAUGGAUAAAACUAAUUUUUAUGGGACCCAUUAUAACUUAAUUGUUAGUCAAUGAUUAGUUUGUCAUUUCAUAUAUGGUUACCUACAUGGAAUAACCAAUUCAUUAUAUAAUUUCUCCCCAAGCAGGAAUAUUAACUCUUUUUGCAAGAAUUUUAAAAAUAAAUAAAUAAAUAACAGCCUUCAACAAAGCGUAAGGAAUUAAGUGGAAUCCACUAUCUAUGUCUAACUGCAUCAUCUUGUAGAAUAUAUUCCAAGUCUAUUGCCAAUCAAAAACCAAGAGACUACAGAGGGUAGACUCAGAGCAGAAAAGACUAAUUACCAAUGAGGAUAAUCACAAUGAACUGUUCCAUUAAGCUGGGCUUGAGCUGCAUUCCACUCCUCUGAAGAUUUAAAAGGAAUGUGUGGAGCUGUAUGAUGCACCAUUGUGAACGUACUCAUCUAUGAAAUCCAAGGAAAACAAUGACAAUUAGAUCCAAGGAUAGAUAAAACGCAAUUCCAUUAUUAAGUCAUCCUGUGCAAGAAAAAACAGAGAUCACCAAGUCAAAGCAUUGAGCAACCCACAGUCAAACAUAUGUUCUAUAGUUAAUCCAGAACCAAAGAACUCUAUGAUGAGCUAAUAUAUUUAAUUACCAUGAAAUGGAACAGCAAACUAAAAAUACUAUCAAACUUAAUCUUGAAAGAGAGGUGUAGAGGCAUGAUUUUCAGUGGGGAUUACAAUUUCAUGCAAGGUACAGUUCUAAUAAACAUAAAUGUUUGCAUUGCAUUCACCAAAACGAAGCAUUAGUACUAUUUCAUGAACCAACAAAUAAUAUGCAGUUUCAGUUGCAUCUAGCCUAACUAAAAGGGUUUAUGCACUGAAGAUUGAUUUGAAUUAUAUUUCCAAUCACGAAUUCUAACAUGAUGACAUCACCACAUUAGGCACAACGAAACCUACAAAAAAAUCAUUUAAAGAAAAAAAAACACUGAAAAGACGCAACAAUCCAACACGUUCAUUACUGAAUUAUGACACAACUAUUAAAGAUUAGAAAGUAGCAUUACCCAAAAGUGAAAGCCUAACCAUGGCAUUAACCAGAACUUGAUCCAUCCCAUGAUCCCUGUUUUAUAGAUAAUCAAUGGCCAUCCAAUUGCCAUAAAUGCAAAAACACAAGCCAAACUUAUCUUCACCCUUUUAACUUCAUUUGGUCUAAACUUUUUUAUGUCAAAGUGCCACAUCAACCUGUUAGGAUCCUUAUAAAUGUUAGGACAAAUGUCUAUUGAAUAGAAAUUUAUGAAUGAAGUUCAUAAGUUACUAGCCAAAAUAUGCUGAUGAGAAGGACCAAACCAAGAGAUUAGAAACAUUAUCAUUCUCAACAUUCAUACUCCUAUUAUUGGUAGCAUACCAGUGAGCUAUGGACAUCCAAGGCCGAAAUGGGCCAUAUCCAUAUAUAAUUGCUUUGCGGAACAGAGGAGAUGAAUCAAAUUCUUCUUUCAAAAUAGGAUGCCAAGCUGUAUCCCCAACCAACCUAUAAAUAUAAGAAGAAUGGGGGAAAUUUGAUAAUUCAAAAGCUAAGACAAAGGGAAAAGGGCUAUCGCCUAGACUGAUUACUAAGCAAGCAACAAAAUAAUCCAUUUUUACGUUACAAAUACAUCUGUGUGAUAACAAGGACCCAACAAGUAAAAAGGGUUGGUUUCCCAUGUACAGAUAUAUAGCAUAUGCAUAAAAUGUUUGUAUGACUGUGCGCAUAUCAUGUUAUACAGUGCCCAGCAUAACUCUGCAUACUCAAAUAUUGGAUGCAACAUUUUUAUUUAAACAAUAUGAAAUAUAGACUGUGAAUCACUCUGUAAACAUUUUAUUGUUCUUUAUUCCUCUAGCUUAAGAAAUGCUGACAUUCUAAUAAAAUAUUCCUUUCCAAUCCCAAUAUGCCAGGAUGUUGCUGACUACUUGCAUGAUUGUGACACAUGAAAUGGAACUACUACUACAGAAUUAACAAAUUAAUAAGGAAUAUCUUACAGACAUGUUGGUUUUUGCAUGAUGCCUGUCAUGCUUAAACCUCCAUGGCUCAUAUGGGUAUAUUAGUGGCAGAAAGGCUAGAGUUCCCACAAUGUCUUCCACUAAUUUGUUCCUUGAAAAUGACUUGUGAGCACAAUCAUGUCCUACAACAAAAAACCCAGUUACUGCAGUCCCUGUCCAUGCCCAAGCCAGAGGAAGUAGGUACCAUGGGGCCUUUGAAAUCAUAAAGAGCCCCAAUGCAUAUGAAGUGGCUGAUAUUAAAACUGACUUCCAUGCUUUCACAUCAUCGAUCUCAAACACCUUUUUGGGCAGAGUAUCAAUGAUUUCCUUUAAUGUAAUAUUUCUAGGAAGUGGUUCUCCAAUUUGCCUGAAGCCGUAACUUUCUGCUAACUGCUUUCUAUACUGAGCACUGUCUGCUGAAGAUGGUACAACUGGAACUGCCACUGCUUGUACAGGUUUGGUCCUUCUCAAGUGGAAUAAACCAUGUUUCUCUUUCUCUCCUUUCUGAAGAAGCCCGUCCCAUGUCGAGUGAUGAAUGCCUGGAGAUAAAUGGGUAGUAAUCCUCUGACUACGGAUUUGCCCCGGUUUGGGGUUCACGAAGAGGAAAACAGAAUCAGCAAUUCUGCAACCCAUUGAGAAGAAAUGCUAUUGCAAAGAACACCCCCUCUUUCCUUCCCCUCUGGCCCUCUUAAACAAAAAGGAUACAGACUUCUAUGAGUUUGUGAUAGAGAAGGAGAGAAGGGGAUAGGCUUUGUUUCCUCUUUUCCUCUGUGCUGUGAAGGACAAAAGAGGAGCUCAAGAGUUCGCUAGCAUGUAGGCAGCC